This 492-nucleotide ribosomal RNA is filed under the name uncultured bacterium. RNAcentral describes it as "partial 16S ribosomal RNA". It matches the Rfam family "Bacterial small subunit ribosomal RNA", at positions 29 to 507 of the family's 1533-position model. The record is from RNAcentral.
AGUGAACGCUGGCGGUAGGCCUAACACAUGCAAGUCGAACGGCAGCACAGUAAGAGCUUGCUCUUACGGGUGGCGAGUGGCGGACGGGUGAGGAAUACAUCGGAAUCUACUUUUUCGUGGGGGAUAACGUAGGGAAACUUACGCUAAUACCGCAUACGACCUACGGGUGAAAGCAGGGGAUCUUCGGACCUUGCGCGAUCGAAUGAGCCGAUGUCGGAUUAGCUAGUUGGCGGGGUAAAGGCCCACCAAGGCGACGAUCCGUAGCUGGUCUGAGAGGAUGAUCAGCCACACUGGAACUGAGACACGGUCCAGACUCCUACGGGAGGCAGCAGUGGGGAAUAUUGGACAAUGGGCGCAAGCCUGAUCCAGCCAUACCGCGUGGGUGAAGAAGGCCUUCGGGUUGUAAAGCCCUUUUGUUGGGAAAGAAAAGCAGCAGGUUAAUACCCCGCUGUUCUGACGGUACCAAAAGAAUAAGCACCGGCUAACUUCGUG